AUUUGAUGAUGGGGGGAGCUUGCGCACAAUUUCUUAAAUUGUUCCUAAUACUCAUACAAACUCUCUCCAUUGUACUGUCAGAUGCCAAAAAUUUCUUUUCUUAUGUU
Hevea brasiliensis (rubber tree) is the source of this 107-nucleotide small nucleolar RNA. Lineage: Eukaryota; Viridiplantae; Streptophyta; Magnoliopsida; Malpighiales; Euphorbiaceae. The record is from RefSeq and is a predicted model, not a curated record.